This 467-nucleotide ribosomal RNA is filed under the name uncultured bacterium. Its description in RNAcentral is "partial 16S ribosomal RNA". It matches the Rfam family "Bacterial small subunit ribosomal RNA", at positions 356 to 813 of the family's 1533-position model. The record is from RNAcentral.
UGGGAAUUUUGGACAAUGGGGGCAACCCUGAUCCAGCAAUGCCGCGUGUGUGAAGAAGGCCUUCGGGUUGUAAAGCACUUUUGUCCGGAAAGAAAACGCCGUGGUUAAUACCCGUGGCGGAUGACGGUACCGGAAGAAUAAGCACCGGCUAACUACGUGCCAGCAGCCGCGGUAAUACGUAGGGUGCAAGCGUUAAUCGGAAUUACUGGGCGUAAAGCGUGCGCAGGCGGUCCGCUAAGACAGAUGUGAAAUCCCCGGGCUUAACCUGGGAACUGCAUUUGUGACUGGCGGGCUAGAGUAUGGCAGAGGGGGGUAGAAUUCCACGUGUAGCAGUGAAAUGCGUAGAGAUGUGGAGGAAUACCGAUGGCGAAGGCAGCCCCCUGGGCCAAUACUGACGCUCAUGCACGAAAAGCGUGGGGAGCAAAACAGGAUUAGAUACCCUGGUAGUCCACGCCCUAAACGAUGUC